ACGCUCGACAUCUACGGGAGGCAGCAGUGGGGAAUAUUGCACAAUGGGGGAAACCCUGAUGCAGCGACGCCGCGUGGAGGAAGAAGGUCUUCGGAUUGUAAACUCCUGUUGUUGGGGAAAAAGAGGAUGGUACCCAACAAGGAAGUGACGGCUAACUACGUGUCAGCAGCCGCGGUAAUCUGAGCGGGCUGGCAAGGC
Molecule: ribosomal RNA, 198 nt
Filed under: uncultured bacterium
Lineage: Bacteria
Description: partial 16S ribosomal RNA
Rfam family: Bacterial small subunit ribosomal RNA
Source: RNAcentral